This 475-nucleotide ribosomal RNA is filed under the name uncultured organism. RNAcentral's name for it is "partial 16S ribosomal RNA". It matches the Rfam family "Bacterial small subunit ribosomal RNA", at positions 333 to 799 of the family's 1533-position model. The record is from RNAcentral.
ACACUCCUACGGGAGGCAGCAGUGGGGAAUAUUGCACAAUGGGCGCAAGCCUGAUGCAGCCAUGCCGCGUGUAUGAAGAAGGCCUUCGGGUUGUAAAGUACUUUCAGCGGGGAGGAAGGCGAUAAGGUUAAUAACCUUGUCGAUUGACGUUACCCGCAGAAGAAGCACCGGCUAACUCCGUGCCAGCAGCCGCGGUAAUACGGAGGGUGCAAGCGUUAAUCGGAAUUACUGGGCGUAAAGCGCACGCAGGCGGUCUGUCAAGUCGGAUGUGAAAUCCCCGGGCUCAACCUGGGAACUGCAUUCGAAACUGGCAGGCUAGAGUCUUGUAGAGGGGGGUAGAAUUCCAGGUGUAGCGGUGAAAUGCGUAGAGAUCUGGAGGAAUACCGGUGGCGAAGGCGGCCCCCUGGACAAAGACUGACGCUCAGGUGCGAAAGCGUGGGGAGCAAACAGGAUUAGAAACCCCGGUAGUCCCAUG